This 497-nucleotide ribosomal RNA is filed under the name uncultured bacterium. Its description in RNAcentral is "partial 16S ribosomal RNA". It matches the Rfam family "Bacterial small subunit ribosomal RNA", at positions 28 to 507 of the family's 1533-position model. The record is from RNAcentral.
GAUGAACGCUGGCGGCGUGCCUAAUACAUGCAAGUCGAGCGAACAGAUGAGGAGCUUGCUCCUCUGACGUUAGCGGCGGACGGGUGAGUAACACGUGGAUAACCUACCUAUAAGACUGGGAUAACUUCGGGAAACCGGAGCUAAUACCGGAUAAUAUAUUGAACCGCAUGGUUCAAUAGUGAAAGACGGUUUUGCUGUCACUUAUAGAUGGAUCCGCGCCGCAUUAGCUAGUUGGUAAGGUAACGGCUUACCAAGGCACCGAUGCGUAGCCGACCUGAGAGCGGGAUCGGCCACACUGGAACUGAGGCACGGUCCCGACUCCUACGGGAGGCAGCUGUAGGGAAUCUUCCGCUAUGCGCGAAUGCGUGACGGAGGUACGCCGCGUGAGUGAUGAAGGUCUUCCGGUCUUAGAUCGCUGUUAUUAGGGAAGAACAAAUGUGUAAGUAACGAUGCACGUCUUGACGGUACCUAAUCAGAAAGCCACGGCUAACUACGUU